UACGAAGGGGGCUAGCGUUGCUCGGAAUCACUGGGCGUAAAGGGUGCGUAGGCGGGUCUUAAGUCAGGGGUGAAAUCCAUGGAGCUCAACUCCAGAACUGCCCUUGAUACUGAAGAUCUUGAGUUCGGGAGAGGUGAGUGGAACUGCGAGUGUAGAGGUGAAAUUCGUAGAUAUUCGCAAGAACACCAGUGGCGAAGGCGGCUCACUGGCCCGAUACUGACGCUGAGGCACGGAAAGCGUGGGGAGCAAACAGG
Molecule: ribosomal RNA, 254 nt
Filed under: uncultured bacterium
Lineage: Bacteria
Description: partial 16S ribosomal RNA
Rfam family: Bacterial small subunit ribosomal RNA
Source: RNAcentral